Molecule: long non-coding RNA, 573 nt
Filed under: Medicago truncatula (barrel medic)
Lineage: Eukaryota; Viridiplantae; Streptophyta; Magnoliopsida; Fabales; Fabaceae
Description: long non-coding RNA (MTRU_LNC001453)
Source: RNAcentral
UUUCCAAUUAAUAGUAUCAAAAGCCUUUCUCACAACAAUUUCCAAGGCUAAGUUUCCCCCAUAAGACUUCUUGUGAAGAGAAUUAAUAGCUUCUGAAGUAGUUAAGAUGCAGUCUUGAAUUUUUCUACCUGGAAUGAAUCCCCUUUGAUUUAUAGAAGUGAUUUUGGAAGCAAUAAUUCCCAAUAUAUCAACCAAAAUUUUGGUAAUGAUUUUGAAUUGACAUUACAAUCAAAACAUACGAUUGAGUAAUGGAAUUAGAAUAAAUUGUUGAAGGAUAAGUGUUUUGGUUCAAGGGUGCAAGGUAUGGGAUAGAUUGGAGAUAGUUUGAGAGGAAGAAGACUGAAAUUUGAGAGGAAGAAGAAGAUUAACCGUUUUUUUAAUUUCAUCCCUGUGUCAAUUUACGAUUUUGAUUUUAGUCCCUGUAUUUUAACAACUUAUCAUCUCUCAUGCCAUCUCAUCAAAUGUGCCAACUGCCACGUGUGUUCCGUUAGCCACCAUGGCGUUUUUGUUGACAGAAGCUGACGGCAAGGACUAUUUUCAAAAGGUUGAGAAGAUACAGGGUUCAUUUUAGAA